Molecule: long non-coding RNA, 1771 nt
Organism: Episyrphus balteatus (marmalade hoverfly)
Lineage: Eukaryota; Metazoa; Arthropoda; Insecta; Diptera; Syrphidae
Exons: 3
Source: RefSeq, a predicted model, not a curated record
UUUUCAAGUUUUUUUUUUACAAAUAAUUGUUAUCUUAAAAAAAAAACAAUACCUACUUUUGUGCGCAAAACCCAAUUAUUUUAAAAGGUGCUCCAGGUGGAGAAAAUUCUAAUUGUUUUAAUUAACACCUACAUACCUACAUUAAUUUGGUGUUUUAUUAAACAUUACUGCUUAAAAUUAAAGGUGCUCCAGAGUAAAAAUCGAUCGAAUUCGAUUCGAAACUAAAAACCCGACCAUCCAAUCAGACUUUUUAAAGUCUAAAAGUGCUCUUUUUGCUAAGCCGCACAAUAUCGCCCAAAUUCAGAAAAAAAAAACUAUUUGACUCGCAGCCUGAGCAAACAAAAAAAAAAAUCACCCCCAAAAUCUCCAUCUUGGAACCUUUUUAUUUAAAUGUGUAAAAAAAGUACAUAUUUUUAUUUUUUUUUGAUCCUGUUUAAAAAUCCUGCAAGGACUAAAUAAAAUUAACAGCAAAAAAAAAAAUACAACACACACUCUCAACUCAACAAUCAAAAUCAUCCAAACUUUCAUCCUCGGAAAACAUCCAGGAAAACAUCUAAAAUUGCACUUAUAACCUAAAUAAGCAAUAUCCAGGAAAAACAUAUAAAAUCAUCUUCUACCUGCGCCUUCAUCUCAUCACGUUUCAAAAAAAAAAAUCAUCACAAAACCUAUAAAAGCUAAGUACCUAAAAAUCUUUCUUUCAAGUAAAAAGAUAAAAAAAAAAAAAGUUUUAUAAAUCUUAAAUUAUUGCAUAUCUACUAUUUGACCUUGUACAUUCAAUUCGUUCAAAUUUCUUUUUUCUAUUUUACCCUAUUUUAGUCUAGCUUUAAAAUAAAUAAGCAAAAUCAUAACAAAACAACAACAAAAACUCAAUCCUGCGAUGGUGUGCACAUUAUCAGGAGGAAAUGACCAAAUGUGAAUUAUAAACAACGAAGAACAAAAAUACAAUUCACCACUGUAACACAUAAAAAUAUGCAAAAUUGCAAAACAAUUUGUGGGGUAAGUGAGAAUAUUAAUUUAUUGAUUGAAAAUUUGAACGAACGAAUAUAAUUUAAUUUAAUUUAAAUAAUUUUUAAUUGUUGCAAAUUUAAACAUAAAAGAUAAAGAUAUUUGAAAAGUGAAAACAAGAAAGAUACGAAAGAUAAGAAUAAUAAGAUUAAAGAGAAAGAUAGAAAAAAAUAUAUAUAGAGAAAAAGAAAGAAAAAAAGUACACUGAAACUUUCUAAUUGAUAAUUUUUUUUGUUGACAUUGCUAAGGAAGGUGUCAUUGUGAUUUUUUUUAUUAACUUUUUUUUGUGAUGAUUAAUGAAUUAAUAUUGAAUUCAUAUUAAUUUGAAAUUUAACUAUAAUUAUUUUAUAAUCAAAUUAUAUUUUUUUAUAAAAAAAUUUGAACAUUUAUACAUUUUUCUUUAUUAUCAUUUUGGCUAUAAGUGAUUUGUCGAAACAUUUCGUAUUAGGUUCUAUUGAUAUUUUUUUUUAAAUUUUAAUAAAAUUUGUUGUACACUUCAAUUAAGAAAAAAACAUCUUUUAUCUUUACUGAGGUUACUUACAUAUGGAUGGGUUAAUUUUAUUCUGCAUCGAAUUUAGUCAUUUUUUUUUUUGUUGUGAAUUUGAUAAGAUGACUUUUGCUAUAAAUUUUUUAUUUUGGCUUUUUGAAGUUGAAACCAUGAUUAUGGUUUAGGUUUUUUUUUUCAGGUGGAUGUGGCUCUCACAAGAGUGAGCUAUAAGGUGAUAACGGCAAAAUGAGAACUUAGUUUAUUUUUUUUGUUUUAUUU